UAGGGAAUCUUCGGCAAUGGACGGAAGUCUGACCGAGCAACGCCGCGUGAGUGAAGAAGGUUUUCGGAUCGUAAAGCUCUGUUGUAAGAGAAGAACGAGUGUGAGAGUGGAAAGUUCACACUGUGACGGUAUCUUACCAGAAAGGGACGGCUAACUACGUGCCAGCAGCCGCGGUAAUACGUAGGUCCCGAGCGUUGUCCGGAUUUAUUGGGCGUAAAGCGAGCGCAGGCGGUUAGAUAAGUCUGAAGUUAAAGGCUGUGGCUUAACCAUAGUAGGCUUUGGAAACUGUUUAACUUGAGUGCAAGAGGGGAGAGUGGAAUUCCAUGUGUAGCGGUGAAAUGCGUAGAUAUAUGGAGGAACACCGGUGGCGAAAGCGGCUCUCUGGCUUGUAACUGACGCUGAGGCUCGAAAGCGUGGGGAGCAAACAGGAUUAGAUACCCUGGUAGUCCACGCUGUAAACGAUGAGUGCUAGGUGUUAGACCCUUUCCGGGGUUUAGUGCCGUAGCUAACGCAUUAAGCACUCCGCCUGGGGAGUACGACCGCAAGUG
This 548-nucleotide ribosomal RNA is filed under the name uncultured bacterium. RNAcentral's name for it is "bacterial SSU rRNA". It matches the Rfam family "Bacterial small subunit ribosomal RNA", at positions 355 to 894 of the family's 1533-position model. The record is from RNAcentral.